This 23-nucleotide non-coding RNA is filed under the name Arabidopsis thaliana (thale cress). The record is from RNAcentral. Lineage: Eukaryota; Viridiplantae; Streptophyta; Magnoliopsida; Brassicales; Brassicaceae.
UACUGACGUGCAAAUCGUUCGUC